AUGUUCCUAACAACUGUUGCCAGGCCUCGAUAUAACAAUGAGGGGGAGCUAACAUUCGAUGGGAAGAUCGGCAUUUGGGCAUUCAUCGAAGAGAGUGAGGCAAAGCGGACAAGUCAGAACAGAACAAAGGGAACAAAAGUGUUGACAUCACUGAAAGUAACCAGGCCUAUGUGGAGAGAUUAUCUGAUCAAUAAGGUUAUCCCGGCAAUUCAGGAUAAGUGGCCUGACAAUGAUGAGGGAGCAACAAUAUUCAUCCAACAGGAUAACGCAAAGCCUCAUGUCCUUCCCAAUGAUGUAGCUUUUCAAGAAGCUGUGGAACAAACUGAUCUUGACAUCCGAUUGCUACAACAGCCCCCAAAUAGCCCUGAGUUAAAUUGUUUGGACCUCUGCUUCCAUAACUCUCUCCAGUCUCUAACCGACUGCAGGUCACCUACAAACAUCCAGGAACUGGUAUAG
RNAcentral lists this ribosomal RNA (456 nucleotides) under Triticum aestivum (bread wheat). RNAcentral's name for it is "partial small subunit ribosomal RNA". The record is from RNAcentral. Lineage: Eukaryota; Viridiplantae; Streptophyta; Magnoliopsida; Poales; Poaceae.